RNAcentral lists this ribosomal RNA (193 nucleotides) under uncultured Mortierella. Its description in RNAcentral is "partial large subunit ribosomal RNA". It matches the Rfam family "Eukaryotic large subunit ribosomal RNA", at positions 40 to 230 of the family's 3401-position model. The record is from RNAcentral. Lineage: Eukaryota; Fungi; Mortierellomycota; Mortierellomycetes; Mortierellales; Mortierellaceae.
AUAUCAAUAAGCGGAGGAAAAGAAACUAACAAGGAUUCCUCUAGUAACGGCGAGUGAAGCGGGAUGAGCUCAAAUUUAAAAUCUGGCUGGUUUACUAGUCCGAAUUGUAGUUUAUAGAAGCGUUUUCGGUGGCAGCCUGGGUAUAAAUCCUUUGGAAUAGGGUAUCAUAGAGGGUGAAGACUCCUGUCUUGAU